RNAcentral lists this ribosomal RNA (247 nucleotides) under uncultured bacterium. Its description in RNAcentral is "partial 16S ribosomal RNA". It matches the Rfam family "Bacterial small subunit ribosomal RNA", at positions 791 to 1035 of the family's 1533-position model. The record is from RNAcentral.
UAGUCCACGCCGUAAACGAUGAUAACUAGCUGUCCGGGCACUUGGUGCUUGGGUGGCGCAGCUAACGCAUUAAGUUAUCCGCCUGGGGAGUACGGCCGCAAGGUUAAAACUCAAAGGAAUUGACGGGGGCCUGCACAAGCGGUGGAGCAUGUGGUUUAAUUCGAAGCAACGCGCAGAACCUUACCAGCGUUUGACAUGUCCGGACGAUUUCCAGAGAUGGAUCUCUUCCCUUCGGGGACUGGAACAC